Pelobates cultripes (western spadefoot toad) is the source of this 366-nucleotide non-coding RNA. The record is from the annotation of a GenBank genome assembly. Lineage: Eukaryota; Metazoa; Chordata; Amphibia; Anura; Pelobatidae.
GUCUUCACAUCUAAAUGGAAUAUACUGCUUAACCUUCUCCUCUACCUAUAUUAUCCCCUCUUCUCUGCCUUUUUUGUCUUCUCUGUGUCUGCUUGUCCACAUGAACAAACCCAAAUAUGAUGAUCUGAUCAUUAAGUGUAGGAUUAAUGGGUUGGUGGUUGGAACACUGAUCCAUUUAUUUCCAACACAUAUGAGAACAAAUAUAUUAUUAAUCAUUUGUAUGCUAUUUAAUGAAUUGACUUAAUAUUCCAUAUUAAAUUUACCUGAGACAUUUUCUUUCACAUUUUUACCACAAUCGUAGUAUGUUCAUAUAAUAUGUUCAUAUUAUUCAAAAUGAUGAUAAAAUGUUUUAAAAAUAAAAUAUUC